ACGCUGGCGGCAGGCCUAACACAUGCAAGUCGAGCGGUAGAGAGAAGCUUGCUUCUCUUGAGAGCGGCGGACGGGUGAGUAAUGCCUAGGAAUCUGCCUGGUAGUGGGGGAUAACGUCCGGAAACGGACGCUAAUACCGCAUACGUCCUACGGGAGAAAGCAGGGGACCUUCGGGCCUUGCGCUAUCAGAUGAGCCUAGGUCGGAUUAGCUAGUUGGUGGGGUAAUGGCUCACCAAGGCGACGAUCCGUAACUGGUCUGAGAGGAUGAUCAGUCACACUGGAACUGAGACACGGUCCAGACUCCUACGGGAGGCAGCAGUGGGGAAUAUUGGACAAUGGGCGAAAGCCUGAUCCAGCCAUGCCGCGUGUGUGAAGAAGGUCUUCGGAUUGUAAAGCACUUUAAGUUGGGAGGAAGGGCAGUAAAUUAAUACUUUGCUGUUUUGACGUUACCGACAGAAUAAGCACCGGCUAACUCUGUGCCAGCAGCCGCGGUAAUACAGAGGGUGCAAGCGUUAAUCGGAAUUACUGGGCGUAAAGCGCGCGUAGGUGGUUCGUUAAGUUGUAUGUGAAAUCCCCGGGCUCAACCUGGGAACUGCAUUCAAAACUGACGAGCUAGAGUAUGGUAGAGGGUGGUGGAAUUUCCUGUGUAGCGGUGAAAUGCGUAGAUAUAGGAAGGAACACCAGUGGCGAAGGCGACCACCUGGACUGAUACUGACACUGAGGUGCGAAAGCGUGGGGAGCAAAC
This 745-nucleotide ribosomal RNA is filed under the name uncultured bacterium. Its description in RNAcentral is "bacterial SSU rRNA". It matches the Rfam family "Bacterial small subunit ribosomal RNA", at positions 33 to 773 of the family's 1533-position model. The record is from RNAcentral.